AUGCAAUGUCUUUAUUUACAAUAUUCAUCCUGUGCCGCAAUCAUUUUGAUAAGUCAGAACACCUCGUGGUGUGUGUCACAAAUGGAAGAGCAAAUUCAAUCGCAUGGUGGGAAAUGUGUGUAAACAUGCCAUUGGCAGCACAAAACUACAAAUCAGGAGAGUGCUGUAUGAGACAAAAACUAUAAACCAGGAGUCCGCUGUAUGAGACAAACAUUACAAACCAGGAGAGCGCUGAAUGAGACAAAUUGCAAGGCAAAUUCAAUUGCAUGGUGGGGAACUUUUUCAACAAUUAAGGAAUUGCUUAUGUCCAGGUAAAGGAGAAUCUCGGGUCUAUUGGACGACACCUUCCAGUACAGAGGACCCAACUAACCACCUCUGAAGUGCA
Long non-coding RNA from Esox lucius (northern pike), 385 nucleotides. RefSeq lists it as uncharacterized. The record is from RefSeq and is a predicted model, not a curated record. Lineage: Eukaryota; Metazoa; Chordata; Actinopteri; Esociformes; Esocidae. The transcript has 3 exons.